Molecule: long non-coding RNA, 429 nt
Organism: Zalophus californianus (California sea lion)
Lineage: Eukaryota; Metazoa; Chordata; Mammalia; Carnivora; Otariidae
Exons: 4
Source: RefSeq, a predicted model, not a curated record
CGAAGACCAAGCGCCUGUGGCCCGCUAACCGCUCCACCCGUCGUCGACAGGGGCUUCGCUCAGCUUCCGGGCCCGUUAGGGCCUCUGUCCACUGUUCUCUGUAGAAGACACACAUGAGAAAAAAAGAGGUUAAACAAUUGUUGGAAACCUCCACAGAAUCAGACAGCAAGCCAACAGAACUGUCUCUAAAGAAUAUUAAGUAGUUUUGGAUUUAUGGCCACCAUCUUCUCUUACUAAAAAUGAGAAAACUAGAAGAUCACAGAUCGUUGGUCAAGUUUUCAUUCAGCUAUUGGUGAAGCUAGCUGUCAAACCCAAGUAGUCUGCUGGUAACAACAAUGCUAAAUACAUAGUCCCUAUUGAAAAAACAAAAGAACAAAAUAAUUGAUCAUUUCUUUGAGGUAAUACUUUUGUGUCCUAAUGAUUGUACAU